Molecule: non-coding RNA, 26 nt
Filed under: Homo sapiens (human)
Lineage: Eukaryota; Metazoa; Chordata; Mammalia; Primates; Hominidae
Source: RNAcentral
UCCGACGUUACAAUGGUGGAGUUGGC